CUCUUCCAAUCUGUUCAUUUUUGCUUUUGCUUGCCCUGCCUCCAGAGACGAGUUGAAUAAGAUGUUGCUGGGGCUGAGGUCAAAGAAGUUUUUAUCUGCUUUCUCCUUUAGGAUUUUGAUGGCUUCCUGUCUUAUGUUUAGGUCUUGAGACCUCAU
Herpailurus yagouaroundi (jaguarundi) is the source of this 156-nucleotide long non-coding RNA. RefSeq lists it as uncharacterized. The record is from RefSeq and is a predicted model, not a curated record. The transcript has 3 exons. NCBI's taxonomy places the organism in Eukaryota, Metazoa, Chordata, Mammalia, Carnivora, Felidae.